RNAcentral lists this ribosomal RNA (636 nucleotides) under Syntrophales bacterium. RNAcentral describes it as "bacterial SSU rRNA". It matches the Rfam family "Bacterial small subunit ribosomal RNA", at positions 1 to 611 of the family's 1533-position model. The record is from RNAcentral. Lineage: Bacteria; Pseudomonadati; Thermodesulfobacteriota; Syntrophia; Syntrophales.
AAAUUGGAGAGUUUGAUCCUGGCUCAGAACAAACGCUGGCGGCGUGCCUAACACAUGCAAGUCGUACGAGAAAGUUCGCUUCGGCGAAUGAGUAAAGUGGCGAACGGGUGAGUAACGCGUGGAUAAUCUGCCCUUUAGUUGGGGAUAACUCAUCGAAAGAUGGGCUAAUACCCGAUGAUACUGUAUUCACUGCGGUGAAUACAGUCAAAGGAGGCCUCUGUUUACAUGCUUUUGCUGAAGGAUGAGUCCGCGUACCAUUAGCUAGUUGGUAGGGUAAUGGCCUACCAAGGCAACGAUGGUUAGCUGGUCUGAGAGGAUGAUCAGCCACACUGGAACUGAAACACGGUCCAGACUCCUACGGGAGGCAGCAGUGAGGAAUUUUGCGCAAUGGGGGAAACCCUGACGCAGCAACGCCGCGUGAGUGAGGAAGGUUUUCGGGUCGUAAAGCUCUGUCAGAUGGGAAGAAAUGCAGUUAAGUUAAUACCUUCUCUGCUUGACGGUACCAUCAGCGGAAGCACCGGCUAACUCCGUGCCAGCAGCCGCGGUAAUACGGGGGGUGCAAGCGUUGUUCGGAAUUAUUGGGCGUAAAGAGCGUGUAGGCGGCUAGAUAAGUCAGAUGUGAAAGCCCUGGGCUUA